GGAGGGUAUAGCUCAGUGGUAGAGCACAUGCUUAGCAUGCUUGAGGUCCUGGGUUCAAUCCCCAGUACCUCCA
Molecule: transfer RNA, 73 nt
Filed under: Vicugna pacos (alpaca)
Lineage: Eukaryota; Metazoa; Chordata; Mammalia; Artiodactyla; Camelidae
Description: tRNA-Ala (AGC) (tRNA-Ala-AGC-97-1)
Rfam family: tRNA
About the family: Transfer RNA (tRNA) molecules are approximately 80 nucleotides in length. Their secondary structure includes four short double-helical elements and three loops (D, anti-codon, and T loops).
Source: RNAcentral